RNAcentral lists this long non-coding RNA (1497 nucleotides) under Mus musculus (house mouse). Its description in RNAcentral is "Pvt1 oncogene". The stretch from base 26 to 182 matches the Rfam family "Pvt1 oncogene conserved region 1". The record is from RNAcentral. Lineage: Eukaryota; Metazoa; Chordata; Mammalia; Rodentia; Muridae.
CUACCAGGCAGAGCGCGUGUGGCCGCCGAGCACAUGGACCCACUGGUCAAGCGGGCUCGGCAAGGCCAGGAUGAAGAGAAGCUACGAACUUAGCAUUCCCAGAGCCCCCCGAGUGGAUAUCCGCGUGGAAAGGAUGUUGGCAGCCCCGGUGACCUCGGAGUCACGGCUGGAUCCACCCUCUUGUCUGAUUUUCUUAACUCUACUACGGUAAGAAGAUGCCCUCCAUCAGCAGGCCGUGUCUGCUGGGACCUCUCUGGAGACUUCCUGAACCCUGUGGAUUUACAGUAAGAUGCAGUUUCCUGGGGAGUAAUUCUGGUGGAUACAAAUUCCGGAGUAUUACACCUGGCUUGCCUGGAGAUGUUACAAGUAGCUGGAUGGAUUCUUCAGCCUGGAUGCCCACUGAAAACAAGGACCGAAACUAAGAGGAUUGUAUCUCUACCCUUGACUCAAUGAGAAUGUUUGUUGUCAUCUCUCGGGCUACCUGGAGCUCCCUCUAAAAUUAUACCCUUUAAGCGUUCCAGAAGGAUUUUGAGAUCCUUUCCUAAAUCAAAGGUGGAAUAUUUGGGGAUUUGGAAAAUUGAGGCUUCAGAGAAAUCAGGAGCGGUGAAUGAUCGAAAUGGACCUUUGAGAUUACAGUGUGGAGCUGACAUUGCCAGUUAAGCCUGGGCAGAUCUGACUUAAUUGAUUUAGUUGUUGGAGCAGAGACAACCCAGAGGCUUGGAUCAGCCUCCCCAUCUGACAGUGUGCUGAUGUGAAGCGUUGACUUAAGAGAUGCCAAGUAACUCAGCAGAUGUCACACAGACGAUAAAUAGCAAAGAUGGAAGUCUUCAUGCCGGAGGCAAUCCUAUAAGACAGCUGAGUUCUGCAGAGCUGGAGACAGACUUGCUCAGGUGAUAGAUCCAGCCAUGAUACUGACCCUAAGAGAAUGAGACGCUCUGCAGAAGACAGAAGAUUCCUGAAACUGGGAAAGGUGCCUAGAAAUCCUGAUAAGAGUGAAGAAGGAGCUGGCAGAGCAGCCUUCCUCCGCACUAUGAAAGACAUCCAACAGAGAGCAAGUUCCCACCUCACUUCCAGCUUGACUCCUUUUUAUCUCCUAACUGUGGUCUGUGAUGUCUUCAGCAAUGGGUACCUGGAGGCACAGCAGCCAUGUUGAACCUAUGAGGUGAUGAAAAACCAUGCAACUAGAAACCAGAAUGGAAGAAAAGAAGAAGCUGGAUCCUUGACUGAAUUGUCGAUGGGGGAUAGUCCAUCAUCCCAGGGCUAAGACCACCUCCAGAUUUCUUGUUUGGUGAAACAAGUCCUGAUUGUUUACAUUCCCUCGUGUUGAGCUGUCUCUUGCUUGUAGCUGAAAGCAUUUCUAAUAGAUAUUCAGAUUAUCAGCCUUAGCUCCAAGCUAGAAUACUCUAUGGGACCUUAGCUUCUCCAUGAAUUCCUUUGCUCAUCUGUGUAAUGCUCAAUAAAUGUAAAUUGAACCCUGAAUGAGGGACAAUGACACUA